UUUCCUCCAGUUUAUCAUGUGACAUAGCAGGUCGCCAAGGCGUUUGAGCAGCAAGUCAGUAUUAGCAGUCAAGCAAGCAAGGGAGGAUUUAGAGAAAUUGCUAACGUUUAAAAGGAGGGGAAAGAACAGACAUGCCCCCACCCGCCUGGCCAGAUUGGAAGCAUUGCAAACAAUCCUUUCUGCUUGUUUCCAGGACUAAUUCAAGAAGAUGCAGAUUUUGACAGUCAAAGCCUGGAACAGCCUGGAUCUCAAGGAGAACUUUUCUCUCCUAUAAUCUCACUGGGCCUUUAGGAUCUACAAGUGAGACCCCAAUCUAAGUUCCUUCCUUUAGCAAGGGCUGCCCUAUUGCUUCGUUUCCAACCACUGCCCCUCCCAUCACUUCCAGCUGACAUCCUGUCACUUUUUAUAAGACCAUCUUUCUCCAUAUGAACCUCCCCGGACACUGAGAUCAACCUCUGAGGCCCUUCUUCAUGUGCCUCCUCCAUGAGAGGUCUAGAGGGUCGCAACACGAGAACGAGCCUUUUCUGCAGUGGCUUCCCAUUUGAGGAAUGCUCUCCCCAGGGAAGCUCACAUGGCCUCUUCAUUAUACACCUUAAGGGCCAUCGGACAGAAAUGCCUUUCUGUGCUUUAUAAGGUGCCGACCGAAGACCGAGUUGAAGGCCACCACGUGACAUCGCCUCUCUCUGCUGACUGCCCAUCGGAUGUUAUUUGCAUGCUAGCAUCAUAUUCCAGUAAGGGUAUGAAAUAAGUUACACCCAAGACGUUUGCUCUUGGGACGCCCCAUCGGAGAUGCUCGCUUAUGAGUAACUGGCCUUUUAAGGCCGGAGACCUCCCCUGUUGUGUUGAAGCUCUGUCCCGUUUGGCCUUGGGUGGCUCUAAGGUUUGAGCAGAUCUGCAGCCCUGUCUUUUAAACUUCUCUAAUCCAAUCCUUCCGGGAGCUGCAACUUAUUGCCUAAACCAGAGUUGACCUACUCAGAAACGCAUAGCUCAGGGCUGACUCACACAGGCCGCUCUGAGUGAGCUGUCACUCAAGGGCCUUUGCACCGCGUAAUGCUUCUCAUAUGGCCGGAGACAAAAAUCCCUGGUCCUCAGCCUGAGAUUCCCUUCAGAUCAAUAGUCCUGAGCUCUGCGGGCCGCAUUCCUUCCUGGGAAAGCAUUCAGGAGUCUCAUGCCAGCAAUGAGUGGGGUCUGGGGCAAAACAGUGAAAGCACAUGCUACCUUUGAACAAAUGGGCUAGUUUCCACACUCGUGCACGAACCCUCUCUGUCCUUUGGCCAAGCGAGCAAUAGGUACUAUCACAGUUCAGAGACUGGUGUGAUGUUCAGAGCAGUGUUCCUCAAACUUGGGUCCCUGGCUGCUAUUGGACUACAACUCCCAUCAUCCCCUGGCCACUGGCCCUGCUAGCUAGGGAUGAUGGGAGUUGUAGUCCAACCAUAGCUGGAGACCCAAGUUUGAAGAACAGUGGUUGAAAGUGUCAGACUAGGACUCCGGGAGACCAGGAUUCAAAUCCCCACUUGGCCAUGAGACUCACCUUGACCCAGUCACUGCUUCUCGGCCUUACAGACUUGCUGCUUGGAUUAAAUGAGGAGAGGGAGAAUCCUUUACCCCCAGCAUCAACUCCUCGGAGGGAUAGGUGGAGUAUUGAUGUGAGAAAUAAAUAAAUACAUUUCCCAAAAAAACUAAACCAACCAGAAGGAGGGUGUGACACAAGGUUUGUAAGGGGUGUGGCAUGGGAAGAGGGCAUGUGACUCGGGAGUGGGUGUGGUCUGGGGAGGUGUCACCACCGGAAAAAGCUGCCCCCUUUUACACGAGGCUUGAGUUGCGCUUGGAGCAGGGGGGUUGCAGAAGAAAAGGGGAGAGGUCGGAACUCCAUGUGGCGCUGGCUAGAGCAGGCAUAGGCAAACUCAGCCCUCCAGAUGUUUUGGGACUACAAUUCCCAU
Zootoca vivipara (common lizard) is the source of this 1940-nucleotide long non-coding RNA. RefSeq lists it as uncharacterized. NCBI's taxonomy places the organism in Eukaryota, Metazoa, Chordata, Lepidosauria, Squamata, Lacertidae. The record is from RefSeq and is a predicted model, not a curated record.